RNAcentral lists this ribosomal RNA (253 nucleotides) under uncultured bacterium. RNAcentral's name for it is "partial 16S ribosomal RNA". It matches the Rfam family "Bacterial small subunit ribosomal RNA", at positions 524 to 776 of the family's 1533-position model. The record is from RNAcentral.
UACGUAGGGGGCUAGCGUUGCUCGGAAUCACUGGGCGUAAAGGGUGCGUAGGCGGGUCUUUAAGUCAGGGGUGAAAUCCUGGAGCUCAACUCCAGAACUGCCUUUGAUACUGAAGAUCUUGAGUUCGGGAGAGGUGAGUGGAACUGCGAGUGUAGAGGUGAAAUUCGUAGAUAUUCGCAAGAACACCAGUGGCGAAGGCGGCAUCCUGGACCAACACUGACGCUGAGGAGCGAAAGCCAGGGGAGCAAACGGG